This 424-nucleotide ribosomal RNA is filed under the name Verrucomicrobiota bacterium. RNAcentral's name for it is "Verrucomicrobia bacterium partial 16S ribosomal RNA". It matches the Rfam family "Bacterial small subunit ribosomal RNA", at positions 355 to 776 of the family's 1533-position model. The record is from RNAcentral. Lineage: Bacteria; Pseudomonadati; Verrucomicrobiota.
UGAGGAAUAUUGGACAAUGGACGGAAGUCUGAACCAGCCAAGCAGCGUGCAGGAUGACGGCCCUCUGGGUUGUAAACUGCUUUUAUAGGGGGAUAAAGUGGGGAACGUGUUCCCUUUUGCAGGUACCACAUGACUAUGGACCGGCUACUUCCGUGCGAGCAGCCGCGGUAAUACGGAAGGUUCGUGCGUUAUCCGGAGUUAUUGGGGUUAAAGGGAGCGUAGGCCGGUUGGUAAGCGUGUUGUGAAAUAUAGGCGCUCAACUUCUAGCUUGCAGCGCGAACUGUCAGACUUGAGUGCGCACAACGAGGGCGGAAUUCCUGGUGUAGCGGUGAAAUGCAUAGAUAUCAUGAAGAACACCGAUUGCGAAGGCAGCUUACGGGGGCGCAACUGACGCUGAAGCUCGAAGGUGCGGGUAUCGAACAGG